UUUGAUGCAGUUUCUUACAAACAUUUUGGUACAUCAAGAUGCAUGACUAAAAAGUGGUUUCCAAAAGAGCCUGAGGCAUUUGCUGAGUAGCUCGAAGUAAGUGUGGAUUCUUCCUCACAGCUGCUUGUUAGCAUUCCAUCUUCCUCACUUGAAAUUGUACCAGUGCCUCCUGUGAAUGAACUUGUGCCACCGGUGGAAUGUGCAGCAGAGGUUGUUUCAACACUGUCCCCACCUAGGAAAUUAAGGAGAGCUGUGAAAAAGAUAACUCCAAAGAAGAAGAUCCAAGCCAUGUACAACUGCAAUUUGGUUCCUGAAAUCUGAAAUGUGUGAUCCUGUGCCAUGCAACAGCAGUUGGUUCACUCAAAAUGUGUGGUUCUGUACUUGGAUACCA
This 391-nucleotide long non-coding RNA is filed under the name Zea mays. Its description in RNAcentral is "long non-coding RNA (ZMAY_LNC004246)". The record is from RNAcentral. Lineage: Eukaryota; Viridiplantae; Streptophyta; Magnoliopsida; Poales; Poaceae.